Leopardus geoffroyi (Geoffroy's cat) is the source of this 2846-nucleotide long non-coding RNA. RefSeq lists it as uncharacterized. The transcript is spliced from 10 exons. Lineage: Eukaryota; Metazoa; Chordata; Mammalia; Carnivora; Felidae. The record is from RefSeq and is a predicted model, not a curated record.
CAUAGUUUCUUUACUAUGUCUGGAGUAAUUAAAACAAAACACCCAAUAUGCAUCUAGAACUCUGCUGACAAUGUCAGCCAGGUUAAAAAUAUCUUUUUCAUAAUCUCUCUUUUUCUUUCAAAGGUAUUAAAGCAUUCUGUCUGCCCACACAUUCUGUAACUUGUGCAGCCCUUACAGGGAUUAGGGAUAGAUUUCUAUGGUUUGACCCUGUUCCUUACCACUCUGCAGAAAUGGGGCCGUGAGUGAGAAGAGUCACUGGUAUUGCAAGAUGUAGAGAGUAUCUAAAGACUUCUCAUUUCUGAAUAGCUCUACCUCUGAUCAUGCCUGAAAUUCCAUUACAAAUCUAUUUCUUGAAGGUGUGUUUUAAUUUGUGGGGGCUGAAAAGGAUACCGAACACUAGUGACCAAGGACUCUCAAAUGCUAUGACUGAGAAGGCAGUAAAGCAAGGACUCUCCCUCAGAAGGAAGCCAUGGAUGUUCUGACACCCCAGGACAACGCACCUGAGUAGGACCGUGAUGGGCGAAGGGAAAAUGCCUGACACCUGGUAUCUACCCCUCAGGAUGGACUGAUGUUUGCCGAUGCUUUUCCCUGGGGAACAGUCUCCCGCACUUCCAUGGUGGAAUGAAAAACUUGGCCUGAGGUUUUAGCCAUCGUGAACAGAUAUGUUGAACCACCUAAAUCUACAGAUUCAUUACAAGUGCCACUUCAUAUUCAGAGAGAGUGAUUUUUUUCUCCCUUUAUGUGGACCCCUCUGGGAUGUCUCCAGCGGAGCAAGAGCCAGACCUACCUUGUUCAUAGUUUUCUUCAUAUGAAAUGCAUUGCUUAGCACCUUGUAGGAGCUUCAUUGUAUAUAUGUGGAAUCAAUGAAUCAACAUAAAAGGAAGGAUAAACCUUUGGCGUUGAUAAAAGAAGAGCAACAGCAAAUCCCACCCCCGCCAUUUACUGGCCUGUUAACUUCUCUCCGCCUGAAUUUCCUCAACUGCUAAGUGGGAAGGAUCGUGAUAAUCACAGCAUGUACCUCGCGAUACCUUGAUUUCUCGGGCUGUGCUUCCUGCAACAUGGAGGGUCUGUAACAGCACAGAGCUCAUAAGGGAACUUCAGCCAUGUCUGUCUUGGGCCGUCGCACAGAUGAUUCCUGCAUUUGGGAGCACUUCUUGAGCCAGGCCAUAUGCUCAGCAUCACGGGAGCUUCAUGUGUUCCGUCUGGAGCACUGGGAAUAAUGAGAUCCUGAACCGCAAAGGGCAGAGUCCCUGGAAAGCAGCCAUACUUGGUGGAGUGCUCUGUGCUAAUCCUCACAAACGGAUAUGUACAAGUGAAUGCCUUGUUCCACUGAGGUCUCACAUCCUCCCAUCCCCCACCAUGGAGCAGGAAGCCUGUUGGUGCUACUUUUAAAAGGGUGCAUUAUUUUUGUGUGUGUUCACAGGAACCUGUCUAGUGAUUAUAUUUUAGAACAAUUUGCACAUUUUCUAGGAAAGAAAAAAAUUGGUGUAGUGUUUUGCAAAGCUCUUAGGAAAGAGAAAUCUCAGCGUUUCCCAUUAGAAUCACCUUUCACUAGGCUGUGUGGCAUCCUUUGCAGGUGAAUCACCCAGGGCAGUUUUGGUGGUGCACACAACAGGACUGAAGGGUUAAAAGGCAAUCAGAACUCUGAACGGUGGAGGUUUACCUUUUCUGUCUUCUAGAGAUACAGGGUAUUGAUCUAGUUCUGCUGCAAAGCUCUUUGCUUUAUCACUGAAUUUUAAACAGAAAGCAUCUUGAAGUGCAGAGGCCGGUGAAUUACUAGGAGCAGAGGUAUUUUCGCAAACAUCAAGGAUAGGCAGGCUUUGGAGUUUGCAAUGGCAGGGCCCACGGCUACAUCACUGUAUUAUCUAAUGUUAGUGCUUUUUUUUUUUUUUUAAAUGGGAAACUGCAUUGGUUGAUAGAUUAUAAACUGCCUCUCCCACCUAUUUACCCCACUUCUCUUGACUUUUCCACUUCUCCAUUCCAAUCUCUGGUACUUGUGACUUACUUAAUGUGUUCCUUUCUGGAGACUCUGGGGAAUACUCUUUCCUUGACUUUCCCAGCUCUUAGAGACUGCCCACAUUCCUGGACUUGUGGCCCUCUCCUUCAUUUUCUUUAAAUUAAUUUUUAAUGUUUAUUUAUUUUUGCAAGUGGGGGAAGGGCAGAGAGAGAGAGGAGACAGAGGAUCCCACGCGGGCUUUGACAGCAGGGAGCCCAAUACGGGGCUGGAACCCAUGAACCGUGAGUCCACAAUCUGAGCUGAAGUCGAAGGUUCAACCAACUGAGAUGCCCAGGUGCGCCCACCCCCACCCCCCUUCAUUUUCAGUCACAGUGUUGCAUCUCUCAGCUCAUCUUCUGUGAUCAUACUCCCUCUCACUGACUAGGGACAGGUCUUCUGCUUUUGGGGACUUGUGAUCACAUUGAGCCCACUUGAAUAAUUCAGGAUAAUCUCAUCUCAAGGCCCUUAACUUUAAUCACAUCUGCAAAGUUCUUUAUGCCAAGUAGGAUAACAUGUCCAUGGACCCAGGGGAUAAGGGUAUGGACAUCUGUGAUGGGCCAUUAUUCUGCCUACCACACACAUGGAACCUGGCUGAGUGUGCCAGCAUCCCUAUGAACGAAAAGCACCAAUCUGUUCUCAGAGAGAUGCCCCUGUGUCCAAAUGAACCAAAUGUCAUGCUGAAUCAGUGACUUUACUCAGUAAGUAUUUAUUAAGCCUGUUGAACACUCAGUAUUUGUUGAGAUUAGCGUUCCUUUCCUAAAUUAAUGUUAUAUAUUUCUUAAAAAAAUUUUUUUUAAUGUUUAUUUAUUUUUGAGAGAGAGAGAGAGAGAGACAGAGAGAGAGAGCAGGG